UUGGAGGGCAAGUCUGGUGCCAGCAGCCGCGGUAAUUCCAGCUCCAAUAGCGUAUAUUAAAGUUGUUGCAGUUAAAAAGCUCGUAGUUGAAUUUCGGGAUUAGUACGUCGGUCGUGCCUUCGGUACGUACUGGUGUUACUGAUUCCUACCUUCUGACGAACCAUCAUGUCAUUAAUUUGGUGUGGCGGGGAAUCAGGACUGUUACUUUGAAAAAAUUAGAGUGUUUAAAGCAAGCUUACGCUUGAAUACAUUAGCAUGGAAUAAUGAAAUAGGACAUCAGAUUCUAUUUUGUUGGUUUCUAGGAUCGAUGUAAUGAUUAAUAGGGAUAGUUGGGGGCAUUAGUAUUCAAUUGUCAGAGGUGAAAUUCUUGGAUUUAUUGAAGACUAACUACUGCGAAAGCAUUUGCCAAGGAUGUUUUCAUUAAUCAAGAACGAAAGUUAGGGGAUCGAAGACGAUCAGAUACCGUCGUAGUCUUAACCAUAAACUAUGCCGACUAGGGAUCGGAUGAUGUUAAUUUUUUAAUGACUCAUUCGGCGCCUUACGGGAAAC
Molecule: ribosomal RNA, 549 nt
Filed under: uncultured Glomeromycotina
Lineage: Eukaryota; Fungi; Glomeromycota
Description: SSU rRNA
Rfam family: Eukaryotic small subunit ribosomal RNA
Source: RNAcentral